Molecule: ribosomal RNA, 506 nt
Filed under: uncultured bacterium
Lineage: Bacteria
Description: bacterial SSU rRNA
Rfam family: Bacterial small subunit ribosomal RNA
Source: RNAcentral
AGAGUUUGAUCCUGGCUCAGAACGAACGCUGGCGGCAUGCCUAACACAUGCAAGUCGAACGCUCAUCUUCGGAUGGGAGUGGCGCACGGGUGAGUAACGCGUGGGAACCUGCCCUGGGGUGGGGGAUAACCGAUGGAAACGUCGGCUAAUACCGCAUACGUCCUGAGGGAGAAAGAUUUAUCGCCCUGGGAGGGGCCCGCGUCGGAUUAGCUAGUUGGUGGGGUAACGGCCUACCAAGGCGAUGAUCCGUAGCUGGUCUGAGAGGAUGAUCAGCCACACUGGGACUGAGACACGGCCCAGACUCCUACGGGAGGCAGCAGUGGGGAAUAUUGGACAAUGGGCGCAAGCCUGAUCCAGCAAUGCCGCGUGAGUGAUGAAGGCCUUAGGGUUGUAAAGCUCUUUCGGCGGGGACGAUGAUGACGGUACCCGCAGAAGAAGCCCCGGCUAACUUCGUGCCAGCAGCCGCGGUAAUACGAAGGGGGCAAGCGUUGUUCGGAAUUACUGGG